GAUGAACGCUGGCGGCGUGCCUAAUACAUGCAAGUUGAGCGCAGAGAGGAGGUGCUUGUUCCUCUGACGUUAGCGGCGGACGGGUGAGUAACACGUGGAGAAUCUGCCUAUAAGAGGGGGAUAACAUCGGGAAACGGGAGCUAAUACCGGAUAAAAAAUUGAAACACAAGGUUUAAGAGUGAAAGAUGGAAUUGCAGUAACCAAUAGAGAGAUCGCGUUGGAAUAGCUAGUUUGUGAGGGAAAGGGCCAACAAAGCGAUGAUACAUCAGCGACCUGAGAGGGUGGUCGGCCACAUUGGGACUGAGACACGGCCCAAACUCCCACGGGGGGCAGCAGUAGGGAAUCUUCCGCCAUUGACGGAAGUCUGACCGGGCCACGCCGCGUGAGUGAAGAAGGUUUUCGGAUCCUAAAACUCUGUUUGUAGGGAAGAACGUUGGUGAGAGUUGAAAGCUCACCUCUUGACGGUACCUACCCAGAAAGCCACGGCUAACUACGUG
RNAcentral lists this ribosomal RNA (497 nucleotides) under uncultured bacterium. RNAcentral describes it as "partial 16S ribosomal RNA". It matches the Rfam family "Bacterial small subunit ribosomal RNA", at positions 28 to 507 of the family's 1533-position model. The record is from RNAcentral.